This 450-nucleotide ribosomal RNA is filed under the name uncultured organism. Its description in RNAcentral is "partial 16S ribosomal RNA". It matches the Rfam family "Bacterial small subunit ribosomal RNA", at positions 334 to 800 of the family's 1533-position model. The record is from RNAcentral.
CACUCCUGCGGGAGGCAGCAGUGGGGAAUAUUGGACAAUGGGCGCAAGCCUGAUCCAGCCAUGCCGCGUGAGUGAUGAAGGCCCUAGGGUUGUAAAGCUCUUUCACCGGUGAAGAUAAUGACGGUAACCGGAGAAGAAGCCCCGGCUAACUUCGUGCCAGCAGCCGCGGUAAUACGAAGGGGGCUAGCGUUGUUCGGAUUUACUGGGCGUAAAGCGCACGUAGGCGGACUAUCAAGUCAGGGGUGAAAUCCCGGGGCUCAACCCCGGAACUGCCUUUGAUACUGGUAGUCUUGAGUUCGAGAGAGGUGAGUGGAAUUCCGAGUGUAGAGGUGAAAUUCGUAGAUAUUCGGAGGAACACCAGUGGCGAAGGCGGCUCACUGGCUCGAUACUGACGCUGAGGUGCGAAAGCGUGGGGAGCAAACAGGAUUAGAUACCCCUGUAGUCCCAUGA